This 259-nucleotide long non-coding RNA is filed under the name Medicago truncatula (barrel medic). Its description in RNAcentral is "long non-coding RNA (MTRU_LNC000255)". Lineage: Eukaryota; Viridiplantae; Streptophyta; Magnoliopsida; Fabales; Fabaceae. The record is from RNAcentral.
AAUAAUUGUCAGCAAAGUUGUUUUUUUUUAUUCAAAUCGAAAGAAUUCUGAUUAAUUUAUACGUAGGUCAUCAAUUCUGCAUUGUAUAAAAGGAGACGUUAAACAAAACACCUGUUUUUCCUAUUUUUCAUCGUAAAGAGAAUUCAAGUCAUUUUAUCGACAUGACUGUUCUAUAUCGAAAAAAUUCCAAUUUCCGUAUUAACAUAGUGGUAGAAAGAAUACCACAUCGCGUCUAAACUUCAAACUGGUUAGCUUUAAC